AUUGAACGCUGGCGGCAGGCCUAACACAUGCAAGUCGAGCGGAUGAAGGGAGCUUGCUCCUGGAUUCAGCGGCGGACGGGUGAGUAAUGCCUAGGAAUCUGCCUGGUAGUGGGGGAUAACGUCCGGAAACGGGCGCUAAUACCGCAUACGUCCUGAGGGAGAAAGUGGGGGAUCUUCGGACCUCACGCUAUCAGAUGAGCCUAGGUCGGAUUAGCUAGUUGGGGGGGUAAAGGCCUACCAAGGCGACGAUCAGUAACUGGUAUGAGAGGAUGAUCAGUCACACUGGCACUGAGACAGGGUCCAGACUCCUACGGGAGGCAGCAGUGGGGAAUAUUAGACAAUGGGCGAAAGCCUGAUCCAGCCAUGCCGCGUGUGUGAAGAAGGUCUUCGGAUUGUAAAGCAAUUUAAGUUGGGAGGAAGGGCAGUAAGUUAAUACCUUGCUGUUUUGACGUUACCAACAGAAUAAGCACCGGCUAACUUCGUG
RNAcentral lists this ribosomal RNA (484 nucleotides) under uncultured bacterium. RNAcentral describes it as "partial 16S ribosomal RNA". It matches the Rfam family "Bacterial small subunit ribosomal RNA", at positions 30 to 507 of the family's 1533-position model. The record is from RNAcentral.